Molecule: long non-coding RNA, 23413 nt
Organism: Cercocebus atys (sooty mangabey)
Lineage: Eukaryota; Metazoa; Chordata; Mammalia; Primates; Cercopithecidae
Exons: 3
Source: RefSeq, a predicted model, not a curated record
CCUGAGCUCAACUGAUCCGCCCACCUCAGCCUCCUGAAUUGCCGGGAUUAUAGGUGUGAGCCACCAUGCCUGACCGCUACAUCAUGUUCUCUUUUAAAGAGAUAUUGGGAGAAAUAUUACAGGAAAUCUAGGUCAUUGAUUGAUUCCUAUUUUCAGAAGGGACUACUUUGAUAACUGUAAUUGUUAUCAAUAAUAUGAAGUGAAUUAUUUGGAAUUUUACAACAUUCCUUGAAAGACUGAGACUCAGUCAGGGUUAGUGAGUCUUGAUUAGAUAAAUGACAGGAAAGUUAAAUACUGUUUCUGUUUCCCAAAGAUGGAUUUAGUUCUUUCAUCUGUUUCUCCAGAUAUUCAUUUUUUAAGAAAAAUUCUGGUUCGGUUGGCAGUGACAUUCAGAUUCUGAUUGUAUGCCUUCUGCAUGUUUAUUUUUACAACACACUGUGAAUUGUAGAAAUAUGGUGGGACAGUCAUAUUUCCUUGGCAUUGAAACCUUACAUAUUCAAGAAAGUCUGUGCUAGGUUUUGCUCAUGGAAAUGUUAUAGUGUUUCACAGUUUACAGACAAUUUCCUUUGAUAAUGUCUGUGAAAGCACAGUGGAGGGCACCACCUGGUCACUCUUUCAACCUGUAUCAUUCAGGGCCCUGCUAGGGAGCAGAUGGCAUGUGUAUGCCAAGUCCUUUGAGGAGGGCUUGUUAAAGGGACCCUUUGGAAGAUGUGGGCAGGUGUAGGGAACACAAUCAGGGUGGGUGCUAAAGAAAGACCCAGCAGUGACAGGGAGUUAGUCCUACUCUAAGGAAGGGGCAAGAAAGGCUGACAAGAGCUGUAUCCCUUUCUAGAGGGACCCUGUCAGCCUGUAAUAUCUCUCCAGGGAGACAGAGGGGAAUAUAUAUACCUUCCUCACUCUCUGCCUGUCUCCUAAAUGUUGGCUGGUGCCUUCCAUUAGCCGAACCCAGACAGAAACCAGAGGGCAGGAGAGAGGAGGAUGAGGGUGGAAAAAGUAGGUGAAUGGUCUGGGAAGGCCAGUUUCAGACCCCCACCCACUUGCCCUCCAGAACAGAGGUUUGCAAGGUUAAGCAGUCAGUCCAGGGUAGAAAGCUUAUGGUCUGGUUUUGUGGACAAAGAAAAUAAAACUGCAUCUACAUUGAUUAAAUUGAAAUUGAAAUUGGGAAUCUUCUACAAUACCACAUGGCUGCUAUCAGUAUAAUUUGUGGUGGGCCUUAGAGUAACAUUAAAUAUUUUUUUUUUAGUUCCCUUUGGAAUGGAUUUUGCUUUAUGCUUCUUGAGAAAUGCGUAGAAUGGGAAAUGUUAUAUGUUUAUCUGAUUAACCAAAAAUGUGGGCUUAUAGAUAGGACAGACAGAAGGGAUUCAUAGUCUCUCGACAUGGAGUUGGAUUCCUAAGAUAGACAUAAUUCCUUUGCUUUUAAUAUUUUAUAAAAAAUAUUUUAUUUAAAAUGUCAGUACCUGGGAGAAGAGACUAGGAGGAAAUUAAGGUUAUUAACAGUAAUUUUCCAUCAAAGAAGUCAAUUUAACGGAAUCAUUAGCAUCACUGAGUAGAAAUGAACAAGCUGUAUUUCCCCAUUUGUUCAGCAUGGCAGUAAGAUUCUGAAAUUUCAGGCUCAUUUAUUCUCUCGUUUUCUUGGCUCUGUUGUUUGAAAAGGUGAAGUCUGCUCUUUGGUUUGUGUACUUGUCCUGAAUGAACAAGCAACGGAACUUAAUUAGAAUCAUAAAAUGAUACUGCUAUAAGGAAUAUCAGAGUUCAUUUCUUCUUACCUCCAAAUUGCAUGGAGUAAGAAACUGAGAUACUGGUUAUUAGCAACUACUACUUUGCAAGUUCUCAGAGUUGGUUACUCUGGAAAAGUCGUAUCACCUCUCCAUCUUGAAGGAAUUGCACUAGAUUAAUUCAUUUUUGCUUUUACCCUUAUAUAUUCCUGAAGUCCUUGAUUUCAAGGGUUUGGUUGUCCAUUAUACACUAUUUUCAUAGAUUAGAGGCAGAGCUUCAUGAGUACCUCUUUCAUUACCUAGCCCUUAAAAUGGUAUUCUCUGGAGGUCUCUACAUUGCUUUUGACUGUGUUCACUCUGUAAACUCUUUCUAUAUAAGAUAACUCAUUCACUUCUACCAUUUUUUUAACCCCCAAUUUACUGAAGACUCCUCUAUCACUGACCUCUUGUUGGAGCUCCAGAUAUAUCCUGUUGUCUGCUGGAGAUCUUGACAUUGAAGUCUAUGGGGACUUUCAAAUCAAAGUGUACAAAACAGGAGUCCUCAACUUCACUCCAAACUUGUGUCUCCUUCCGGUUUCUAAAUCUUCAUGAAACAAGCUAUCCGUCUGUUGAGUCUACCCCAUCAAUAUCCUUCAUUUUUGUUCACUUUUCUCCAUUCCUAUUGCCGCUAGCCUGAAUUUAUGUCCGUGUGAUUUCCUGUCUUGAUUGUUCCAAGAAUUUUUUCAUUCAGUCUCUCUAUACUGUCUCUUUCUCAUCUGUGCCUUCAUUCGUGUCUUCUGUUGGCUAUUCAGUGAACAUCAGGUACUUUAUCAGUGAGAUCUUGCUCUCAGAAGUUUACAGUUUACUGGAGGGGACAAAUAGACACUACUUUAUAAGUUUACAUCUUUGGCCAUUGACUCCAUUCCCCACACCAGCUAAAGUAAUUUGCACACAACAAGUCUUAUUAUAGCAUUACCUCUAAGAUACUUCAACAGCUCCCUGUUGCUAUCAGGAUUAAUUUGUCUUCCUAAUUUGCCAAAUGUAAGCCAUCCACGGCCUGACCUCUGUGAUGAAGUUUUAACUCCUUUAUUUGCAUCACCUAUACUAGGCUGUGUUGAAAUCCAAGAACAUAAAGCCUGCUGCACUGUGGACACUGUGGCUUUGCACUAUGACUUUGCACUCAAUCCCCUUCUUCAACUGGCUGACUCCUACAGGCCUUUAGAGACUCCAUGCAGUUGCCAUCUUCCUAUAAAGCCUUCCUUGAUUUCCACUCCAGUCCAGGUUGGGUGCCCUACUUUAGUCCUCCUGUUGAAUAGUUUGCAAAUUUUAGCCACAGCAUGACUCUCUUAGGAAAUGGAACAAUCUGGUGCAUAUUAGUGACUAAGUUGAUGUCUCUUAAAUGAAUAAAUAACUAAAUGCCAUUACUGCAAAGUCGGCAGAUUGGGUAAAUCAGGAAAACAAUCUGAUGAUUAAGCAAAAAAAAAAAAAAAAAAGCCAAAGUUUAGUAAACUGAAGACAUCUGCUGACCUAUUAAAGAAAAAAGUAUUUCAUGAUUAUUUAUACUGGUCAUUGAAAAGUAGCAGAAUGAUCAAUUUGGAAAUAUGAUAAAUAAUUUGAAAAUUCUAUAUCCAUUAUUUCUGGUAACAGAAAUCCUGAUAUUGUAAUUAGUAUACUAGAUCCAGAGGAGACAUUUCCCUGAAGAUAGGUUAUCAUUUUUUUCCUGAUAGGCACAUACUCAUAUUGUUUUUCCUAUUUUAUGAGUUUGAUUUUAAUCACGUUAUUCUCAUUUUUCCUACAGUGUGUAGGAAUUAGAAAAUAAAUUUCUUAUUUCAAACAUGGUUGGAAAUUUAGGAAGAAAAUAAUUUAUUUAAUCAGAUUAUUUUAUCAAGUGGGACUCUUAGUAAUUUAAAAUGCUUUGUAUUUAUUUUCUUGUAGCAUUUUAUUUUCAAAAUGACCUGCAAAUACAUCAAUGCCAAACAGAGAAAGCAAGAAAGUCAUUAAUUAAUUGAAGGGAAAUAUUCUGCUGAAUAUUGUUUUUUAGAGAACAUCUUUUAUAGUUCUAAAACCAGAAGGGAGCAGUUUAUUCAUAGUGGUUUGAAUCUUGUGAAAAAAGUGUCUCUGACAGUCUUCACCAGGCCCCCUUCGCCAAGCAUUAAUAGGACUUAAGAAAUGUCUUCUUCACAAUUGGCUUCUUUUUGACUUCACAGAUUUCUUUUAGCUUUGUGUUGAAAAGUGCUGUCUAAGUAUGUUAAUUAUUAGAUAUAUCAUUAUUCAGAUUUCAAUGCAGACAACAUUAGGAGGAUUAUAGUUUAGUUAUUGCAGCUGUUCAGAAAACACUUCAUGAUAGCGCUUGGAAAUACAGAUAGAGAAUAUUUCCUUUUAUUUAGAGACUUUUUGGAUCUGUGAGGCCCUCUGAGAAUCUUAAGCUUGGCCCCAUUCUGUCCAUUUUUCAUUCCCUUUGAAAGAGUUUCAAAGUAACUGGUUAAAGUUUCUCCCCAUCUGUCAUAAGUAGCAUAGAGGGAUUUCUUGUGCAGCUACCAAAGGGAAAUGAGGAAAUUUAAAAGUGCAGAUGAUUUGGGUAUUAAUACAUGUCCUGGCAGUGACUCUGCUAGAAUCAGGCUCUCCCAAACUAUUUUGUUGUGUGCCAAUUUUUAUUUUCUCAGCUACAGUAUUAUAACUAUGGCAGACCCACAGGUUUUCCAUAAAGAUUGAUGAUCAGGAGGAAUCCACUCGUUAAUUAAGAGCAGCAGAUGCCUUCUGAAAACAUUCUGGAAAUGUUCUACAUUAUAUUGAACCAAAGUGCUUCCAGCUUUGUUGGAAAGAUUAAGGCAAUAAUUACAUGGAAGGUAUGCCUCAUUUGUCAACAGGGUUUUUGGUCUAGAAUAUCGCAAGAGCAAUUCCUAUCCAUUUCCUUCUAGAGGUGACAGCAACCUUCUUAUUGCAGAAGGGUUAUGAUGUGGGGAACAUAAGUGCUUACCAGUAACUGCUUCUUUUCCUCACACAGGAUAUGAGAUACAGGGUAUGAGACCCUCAGAGAGGAAGUCUCUUUCUCUACAAACACACACACACACACACUCAUACACACACACACACACGCACUGCAGGUGCUUGAGCCACACUGUGGAAUGGGAUACAUAAGAAAUUGAGCCAGUUCUUUGACAUUUUUUAGUCUUUACUGGAUGGCUUUGCAGUAUUUUAAAAUGUUGAAACUUACCAGGAUUCUUUAAGACCGGGCCCCUAACCCAGCAUUUAUUAGGCUUAAACAGUGUGCCCUGGGCCUUCAGAAUGCAAUCCCAUUUCAUUGUCUCAGCAAUUCUGCAGAUUAGGUAUAAUUACCACCAUUCGAUACUAAGAAAACUGAGUGAUUACAGCACUUACUCAGGGUCACAUGGUUGAUCAGAUGUAUAGACAGGUUUCAAAAUAAGGUUGACCUGACCUGAAUCUGUGACCGUACAGGCACAGAGGAAAGGCCAUAUGAGGACAUGGGACACGGGAGAAGGUAGCAGUCGUCAAGCCAAAGAGAGAGGUCUCAGGAGAAACCAUGCUUGCUGGCACUGGCACCUUGAUCUUGAACUUCUAGAACUGUGACAAAAUAAAUUUCUGUUGUUUAAGCUAGCCAGUCUAUGGUAUUUUGUUAUGGCAGUCCUAGAAACCUAAUACAGUGGAGGGUUUCUUUUACAGGCAGAUGAAAGCAGACCUUGGGAUAUAAAAACAAAGUAUUAUGGACCAAUAUAUCAGAAUAAUAAUUUUGGCAUUUGAACGCAUGUUCCUAAUUUCAAAAGGUGAUUUUUGUCUUGAGUUGGUUUAGUUUAUAGGAUAUUUGCUUUCACUGAGCUUUCAUAAGAGUUAAUUUGUUUACAGGCAGAGAUGAGAUAAAUCAUGUCUUUCUUUAGCCUGUUUCUUUAUUUCUUUUUUUCUAUGUGAAUUUCACAUACUUCUUUAAAGAGUCUUAUAAUUAAAACAUGUCAUGUUAAAUGAGCUCAAAUCUUUUUCCAUAAUUAGGAACUUGAAUCAUUGCCUAAUUUAUAAUUUGAUAAGUAAUGUGUAUUUGUUGAAUUUUUCUGCUAUCAAUGUAAGUCCUGGGGUAAUUUUCUAAAACAAAAUAAAAGUGGUUUUGGCUUUGUUUUCCUAACAUAUUAACAGUAGUCUAGGAAAUAUUUUAAUUUCUCUUUAGUUAGUUGGUGCUUUCUCUUUGUAAUUUUUUUUUGUGUGGAGGAUAAAUUAUCAUAAGACUUUCAUUAAGUACAUUGUAGUGUUUUGCUUAAUUUGGUGCCUGUCAGGAAAAAACCCAACAGCACAAUGGAGGUGUUAUGAAUGAGUUAAUUUAUUUAUUAAUUUCAAUCUAAAUUUUUCACUAAUGGAGAAAUAAAAUAUUUGUAGAAUUGAAGUUAUGAAACAGCGAACAUAACUGCUGAAUGAUUUAUAUUCGGUACAUUCUUUAAUAUAAAGAUUGGCUAUAAAGACAUCUUGACUACAAAGCAUGACAUUGAUUUGCUUUACAUAAAAAAAUAUUUUAAAUUUUCUUCUUCACAAUAGUAUUACUUGAGUGAGCUUUUUAAACAGUAUAGUGCUAUUUUAUUAGUUAAGUAAUGCAUACAUCUGACUAAGUGUGAUAUAUUGGGUUUAAAAUAUUAUUCAGAACCUAGCAUAGCUACAGCAUAGAAUGGGGUCACAUAAUAAACGUUCUUCUUUAUGUAUGUGUGUGAACUUUCAGUGAGUCACAUGAGCUGGUUUGGUCAUUUGAGUUUAUCUGAAUACAUUAGUUAUGAGCUAUUUAGCUCUUUCAAGCAGCAUUAUUCAUUCUCAAAUUUUAAAUCAGAUUUGUACAGUAGCUAGCACAUAGUAGGCUUUUAAAUGUGUCCUAAAACUAAUAUGUAAGACGAGGACAUGGGCCACAAACUGUUAUUUUACUUUCCUUCCUUAUUUCAUGGUUUUGUAUAUCUUAUUUUGGAUUUGUAUGCAUUCUGCUGUUUCUAAAAUUAGUAUCUAAGCAAUGCAUUUUUUAACAUUAAUUAUCAAGUUUUGUCUUACUCUUAAAUUUUGCCUUAUAUAAGGCAGCAUAAGUGGGCAUUAUCUGCCUUGCUGACACCUACUUUCCUGGGGUGAAAUAUAUUGACCUUGACUGUAACCUUGACAUUUAAGAUAGUUGACUAGACUCUGAAAAGAGAAAGACCAGCGUGAUUGUAAAUCACGCCUAUUUGUAUAACAUCCUCAAUUACAUAAUAAAAAUAAUCCACAAAAUUGCCAAGAUACUUGAACAUAUUAUACGGGGAUUGGUCUUAGCAGCACAGACUUACCCAUGGGUAUUAGUUCAUUUCCUGAAGAAUCCUUCACCAAACUGAAAGUUGAGUUUACAGUCCUGAGAAUGUGAUGCCUCUUUAGUUAUUAUAACCACAAAACAGUGGAAUGGCUGUUUCUUCCUUUGAGCAGAAUGAUAUGUUUAAAUUCUUUUUUUGAGGGAUGAUUUCAAAUGUGUUAAUUAUGUGGCUCAAUUUGGAUUAUAAGGGAUGAUAUAAAUUAAAUUAUCACUGAAUUUUUACCCUGCCUACCUCACUCACUUUGACCUUAAGAUCUUAUGAAGAGUGAGACAAAGCCAUCAUGAUGGGAAAAAGUGAUCAUCUCAAACUCGUGUAUGUAGAUGAAAAAGGAUAUAUGUUUCUGUGUGAGGAUCCCGUGUGGAAAUACCUUUAUAAAGUUACUCGCAAGUACAGCAUCGGUUUAUUGGGAAGGAAAUGAACAUUUUUUGAAAUGUCUUGUGAAGGUCAGGAACUCCACUAGGGACUCUCCUUUGGGAGGAAGUUUAGCAAAAUGGUUGGGCACGUGUAUGAUGUGCAUUGUGGGGUCCUGGCUUUGCUACUGAGAAGCCGAGUGACCUUGGUCAAGUCAUUGACCUCCUCCUCCUCAUCAUCGUUUUUUGUAUCUAUCCUGUGAGAUAGGUGGCAAUAUCCUCAUUCUACAGAUAAAGAGACUGAGGCCCAUUUAAGUAAUUUGUUCAGGUCCACAUAACUAGCAAGUUGCAGCGCCUCAGUCUGGAGUCAGACCCUGCUCAGGAUUCUACCCUCUUCUACCCCUUCAAUGUGGUCUUCCCCUCCUUCCAAGGCUGUCUUUGCCUAGUUACCAAGUUGAUAGUUUUGAUCAGAUAGGUUGGUUGCUUUCAUGUUGAAUGAACUCAGAUUAGGAGCACUGAUCAUAGGAAAAAGGUUCUGAAAAGGGAAUUGGGAGAAGUGACUUAUAGCUGGCCAUUGCCCUAGCUGAUUAUGUGUUCUUCAGCAAGUCAUUUCACAUCACCGGUUUCAGCAUACUUAGCUCUCUUAAAUGAAGGGCUUAGGCUUGUAGAACUCUUUCUUUUAUAUUUACCCUUUUAUCAUCAUGAAGUGUUUCUCUUUGUCUCUAGUAAUCCUCUGUGUUGAAGUCUAUUUUGUCUUAUUAAUAUAGCCAGUUCAACUUUAUUUUGCUUACUGUUUGCGUGAUAUAAUUUUUUUUCACCCUUCCAAUCUAUUCGUGUGUUUCCAUUUAAAAUGUGUCUCUUUGUAGAGAGCAUAUAGUUGAUUCUUGCUUUUAAAAAAAUCCAUUCUGAUAAUCUUUGCCACAUAGAUGGAAUGUUUAGUCCAUUUACAUUUAAAGUUGUUGAUAUAAUUAUAUUAUGUGGUUAACAUUUUAUGAAACAUAUUACAUUUGCACUUUGAUUUUUCUAUAUCUUCUCAGUUUUCUUUCAGACUUAACUUUAUGGAAAAAAAGUCACAAGACUUAUUUUACACUAUACAUAGGUUGUAUACUUAGUAUAAUUGGUUUGUUGAAUGGGCCACACUUAGUAAGACAUAAACAGAAAAUAGCUUUAUUCUCUCCUCUCCUGUACUUUGGAUGAUAUUUUUUGGCAGAUCCUAUAGCUUUUCAGUCAUUUUACUGUAUUGGAACAACCUAAUUGUCAAAUAUUAGAAAAAUGUAGUACAAUGUAAAUCAAAACUUCCAUUUUUCCAUCCAGUUUAUAGCUUCUCCCCUUUUUCCAUUCUUAGGCUUGAGCCUAGGCUUAGUGAUUAUCAGUAUGGAAGAAAAGGAAUUCCUAGUUUAACUCUCCUCUCUUCAUCUCCUACCAAUGUCUGGCUCCUCCAGAGUUGGCACAGGGGACAUAAAAGGGGCCAAGGCUAUUGCACUUAGCAGGUGCUGUUUGUUUUCAAGGACAGUUCUUUCUCAUACACACCCUGAUGGAUUUUUCUGGAGAGCCCUUGCAGGUCCAUUGGCAUCAUGCCAUUAAUUUGCUUUGAGCACUGCAAUAUCAGCUCCUCAUAUUCCAGUGGAAGAUCACUGGAGUGUCUCUGUGUCCUUGUCCAGGCAAUCCACUCAGAUGGAGGCUUUUCAGGAUCAUUCAAACUUGACAACCUUCCAUAGUAUUCACAUGGUCCACAGAAAAACUCUCAUCUUAACACCAUCAGACCCUGAGGGCACAGCCUGCUUCUACUUCUACUGGGACUCUGUUGCCUUGCAGGUGGCAUCAGCCAGCCAACCUGAUACAUAUGCUAUAGUUUUUGCACUGAAGCAGGCAUCCAGGCAGGGAAUAGAAUAUCAGCCUCUGUCAUUGCAGAUAGACUCAAUUUAUUAUGGCUUUUCUUUUCUUUUCUUUUUUUUUUUUUUUUUUUUUGCCUUUCUUACGAGGUGUUAGAGAGAGAAGGAAAGGGAACUGUUGAAUUUUCUUUGAAGAGAUUGCUGCAGUGCAAUUUUUCUCAUACAUAGACUCUGGAGGUGACCUUUGGACUGGCUUGGCCAUGUGUAGCAAGUCCUAUGGACAUAUACAAGGACCUCAUCAUAUCACCUUUGGCACUGAAACGUUAGCAGAAAAUUGAAACAUUAAUUCCCAUUCUCAUCAUUAGAAGAAUUUGGAGAUUACUGGCUUAAUAGCAAGAUGCACAGAUAAGUGUUAAACCUUCAGCUACAUUUAUAAUUCGUGAACCGCCACACUCUGUAAGCUUCUCCCUUCAUGUAAUGAGAAAUACUAAGUACCAAAUAAAUGCUUAAUGAAUCAAGUCAUGGUGAUUGCAGGAUAUUGGUCUCUGGGGAAGGUAAGGGUGACCAGUAUAAAAGAGGAAUGAGGUUACUAAUCUGCAAAAUUCUUUACUGAUUUGGUUAAACAAUGGGUCACUUAAGUGGAAAAAAAUAGAAUUCAAAACUGCUGUUAACUUUGUCAAACUAGUUGGUCAGGUUGGCCUAGGUAUAUAUAACCUGAAACUGGAUUGACAGGCACUUCUGCUGGAAAUCUCUAAACAGUACAGAUCAUAUAGGUAUAUUCAUAAAUGUGUAUAUAUAUGUAAAUAUAUGUGUACUUUUAUUGAGGAAUGUAUGAUAUACUUCUGCAUAUAUACACAGACAUAUAAAUAUGUAUUUUAUAGUACUAAUGUAACUGUCAGAGAAAGAAAUGACAUAAUGAUGUCAUAUAACAUAUAAAAUAUAAAAAUAUACUUGAAGAGUUGGCAAAUAAUAAAUAGCACAGAUAAAGGAGAAUGGUUUGGAACAAGAAACAGGUAAUUUUCCCUAAUUUUUGGAGCAGAAAUAGAUGAAUAUGAAAUGUAUGUAUCAGUUCAUUAGUUAGCUUACUUCAAAGUACAAAAUAACCUUAAAAGAUUUAAUGUGGUUUUGUACCAGAAUUUAUAGGUAACAAUAUGAUAAGAAGUUAUUUUAAAGUUAUAAAUUUAAUUUUGACUAAUUGUCAAUAUAUUUAAAAACAUAUUAACAUGUGCUUUACCCUAAUUAAAAGGAGAUUAUAUCUCAGUAGUGUCUAAGAUUUUUAAAAAUAACUUUGUUACUUAUAAAAGGAAUAUGAGAUUAAUUAAAAAAUAUUGGAAAAUAACUUAAAAGCACAAAGAAGAAGGGAAGAAGGCAAAACUACCUUUAAUCUAAUUAUAAUAGGUGGUAACCAAGAUAGGCCAGAACAAGAAACACCAGAUUGCUUUUUGUUUAUUGAUACAUUUUUUUCCAUGAGUGACAAAAAUUAGUCUUUUCAUGGUAGAACUUCCUUUGAUCUAUAUUUAAUUAGCUCAUUUAAUUUUCUGUUUAAAACCAAUAUUUCCUUUCAUGGCUAGACUUUGUAUGUAAGAAGUGGUUCUAAGAUUGUGUCCAAUAUCAUCAGACAUCUGCUUAAUAUAACUCCUAAAACUUUAUUUGUAGACUAGAUAUUUGUAUAAUAUUUGGAGCCUUUGUCAGUUGUUAGGAAUUACUUUAAGAUGUGGAGAAAGAAAUUAAGUUAACUGGUGAAUAAGGAAGUAUUUUCACACUUAAUCCUGUUUUUAGUUCUAACCCUGGAAUUGCUUAUAGCAGUUAAUGUGGACCUCAAUAUUUCAUUUUGUAAAUGGGCAGUGUCAGUAUGAUGGUGGGGUUAAAUGCAAGGGAGAUGCUUUUUUCCUCCUUUUCAAGGUAUACUUUAAGCAAGGUAAGCAUUCAUAAAGGAGCCCUAAUUUACUAGAAAGCUUGAAGUUUUGGAGCAGAGAUUUUCAAAGAAGUUGUAUGCAGAGUUCUUUUUGGACUAUGGUCUGAUAGUGUCUUUGUGAAAGUAUCUUCUUCCCAUUUCUUUUGUUAUGAAACCUGUUUUUUGAAAUCAUUGGCCUUUGGUGAACAUUGAACACAUUGAAAAAUAGCUGUAUAGGAGAAAAACUGUGUGUUAUAGUGUUAUUUAAUUGAGAAUACUAUUUGUGUGUGUGUGUGUGUGCGCGCCUGUGUCUGUGUCAUGGAAAAGUAUUGAAAUGAUAGAUUACUGAAACAAGAAGGAGGCUUUGUUUAUCUUUCCAAAGAGAAUCGAGCCAUUAUUUGGGAAAAGACCCAACAUCCUUUUACUAAAUCAUAUUUUUUUCAAAUAUAUGUGUAUGGCAAAUCUUAAAAUAAUAGAUAAUUAACUAAUAGAAAGGGGGAGAAAAAAAAUGGAAGCAUGCUUUGUCACCUGAUAACUAUCCCAAAAUAAGUUUGGCUUCUAACACAUUUUUAGUGUUUUUUUUUUUUCUUCAAAUGGGUAUUAGAUAGCUUCCGUGGUAGAAGUGAGGACUUGCAGAAUACUCUGUGUUACUAAAAAAUCACUGGAAAAGUUAACCUGAAAUGGCAGAGUAAAGAAGCUCAUGUUUCAGCUAAUACACUGCAGUAACUUUUGCAUCUCUGCACGUUCAUCACAGACUGUGCGCAUAUUGUGUAUAAAUAAUUACCAAAUGUUUCGGGGGUGGUGAUUCUAUUUCUUCUCCAUGAGAAUUUAUAAAGUUGUUAUAUUCGGCUUCUUUGGAGUCAUCACAGUUUAUUUCACUGAGAUGUUUACUGGAUAAAUAUUUUCACAGAGGUUUUCAUCAACUUCAAAGAGGUAGUAUUUAUUCAAUGCAAAGUGUUAGGAGCCUAUUGCAAUAUACAUUCGAUUUUUUUUUCUUUCAACGGUAGAGUUGUUUCUCUUUUUGGUUCAGACGAAUUCAUUAUUUUAAACUGCUUCAAUCAAUUCGAUAUGUUGUAUUCAUAGACACAGUGGGUUUUAUUUGUAAGCCUCCCCAGAGACCAGGGUCCCCAGGAUCUUGGUGCCACAUGUUCUGUAACUGUGACAGGAGAGCUGGGAUGUUUGUACCAUACAUGGGAGAGGGCUGAUUUCUGAGAGAAACUAAUGCUGUUGACUCAUAGGUUUCUUUUUAUCAUUUCUAGGUCAUGCAAGUACACGGUAGCUUUUAAAAUAACACAUGCCAUAGGUAUGUAGAGCCUUUGUAAGUCUUUACAGCUGUAAAAUGAGCUAGAGAAAGUCACUAUCUGGGUCAUGCAGAACCACAUCUGGUUUAUGAUAUGGGCACAUAGUAAUUGUGCUUGAGGUUAUGAUGGAGCCUCACCUUGCUUAGUUUUUGGCCACAGACUGAAGGUCCCUUUGAAUGUUCCCUCAGCUAAUGUAGGUAUGCAGUUUAUAAAUAAUAUUUUCAUAAGGACAAAAGUGAGAAGCAGCAUUGUAUAGCAGAAACGUGAGAGCUGACCUUCCUAGGUUCUGACCUUCCUAGGUUUGAAUAUCCAGUCUGUCUUUUGCUAGAAAUGUGACCUCAGGUGAGCUCCAAAGCUCCCUCUGAACUUGUCCUCAUGUGAAAGAGGAGAGACUCAUGCCUAACUGGGGAGCGGUGAAGACUGCAUGAAAUACCAGAUGCAAAGUGCCUAACACCUCACCUGGUUUAUACAAUAAUAGCUACCUCUUAGUUGUAGUUCUGUUCUUUUCUUUCUACAGACAUUUGACCAUUAAAUACACAAUUAAUUCGACUCAUUAUUAUAUUUCUAGAUUUUUUUUUUCUUUUUGAGGACUGCAUGCUUUUCAUAAAGUCUCUCGGAAAAGUAAUCUCUAUAUAGUUUUGCUUCUUCAUUCAUUCAGCAUUUGUCAAUACUUGUUACAGGCUUGCUUCCUGAGGUCUAGGAGUUUAUGUUUAUCAAGAGAGAUCCACAGAUAACAGAAGUUACUGUAGAAUUUUAAGUUCCACAGAAGGUGCAUUUCUGAGGUCCUAUAAAGCAGAGUAGCAGCAUUUGAAUCAGGUCAGCUCUUCAGCCCUCAAGAGGAAAAGAAGAUUUCUCUCUGAUACAGAAUCCUGAAAUGUGAUCUCCCUUAAAAAGAUGAAAUAUCUUCGAGAAGCAGCUGACCAGUCUUCGUGUUGGUGGAAGUUGGAAGGAAGCCAUUUUUUAGAUAGUGUGCCCAAAAAGAUACAAAAUUAGAACUUUCCUUUUGGUUCCUGUUCUGCCUCCUGUUUCCAAUACCCACAGUUCUGUUUGCCUAAGAGAAAAAGUAGGAACAUUCCCCAUGAUCCCAGAUAAUCCUUCUCAGAGACUAAUUGUUACUUUUAUGUUUUUCAUUUCAUAACCAAUAAUAUACUUGUUAUGAAUAUGCUAGUUAGGAAGAAAAGUGAAAGAACUGUCUAAUUUAUUCUAAUCAUCUUCCCUGUUUGGUGGUUGGAAUGAAUUUUGACAUUAUUUUAAAUAGGAAAGCUAGAGAUAGUAGUUUAAUUUAUUCCAUGCCACUGUAUGUCAAGCACCAAUUUUUUUUUUUAAGAAUCAGUUUAUAAAAAUUUGAGAUUCAAUGACUUUUGCCAUUGAGUAGGUAAGCACUGCUGUAGAAUGGCUCCUUUUGGCAGAAGAUAAUAGCUUUUAAGGCAAGAAAUAUCAUGAUGUAAGCUGUAGAAUUUUAGAUUACUGUAUUGUUUCAUUUCAAGAGGGAAUGUUAGGGUAGGAAGAAAUGGUCAAAAUGAUAUAUAUAGUGCAACCCUCCCAACUUCCGUACAAUGUAUGUGUGCAUAUAUAUACACACACACACAAGGUUUUUAUUUGUGAAGUAUACCUCAAUAGAGCCAAAUAUACAAUUUAACUUUAAUGAUCAUGUAAUUUUUAUUUGUCGAGUAUACCUUAUGAACACUGAAAAAAUAAACUAGCCCCCAAACAAAGGCAAACAAAACAAAACAGUUUGUUUGAGCCAAAAACAACUAAGGCUCAGGGUAAUUAUUGAAUUCAUUGGUUGAUCAUUGUUUAUGGAAUAUCCUAGGUCUGCCUCUCUUGGAAGUGCUGUGUUGGGUGUGGGGAAUGAGGUAGUGAAAUGAUUUGCCCAUGGAGACAUAUGAAGUUAUAGCAGAACCAGAACUACAAAGCACGACUUUGUUUGUUUCUUGAGGGUAUUAAUUUAUAAGAAAUUUCCAGGCUUCAUUUUUCUAAUUUCCCUACCUUGAUUUUUUUAUAGAUAUAUCCUAUAAUGGAUUAAGAGGGUUUCCAAUAGAUGUUUAUGCAAGGUUUAUGAGUUUUAAAAUGGGUAUAUUUAUGCUGUCAAACCUAGAAAAUUUGAUUAAAAAUAUUAUCUAAUAGCCAUUUGGUUAAUAGGUUAAAUCUUUACUUUCUAAAAGUUCUUUUUUUUUUUAUUGUAUAGAAAAGAACAUUUUGCUCUUCCUGAAUUACGUAUGUCUAAGAAAAUCCUCUGAAGAAUGGAGUUGUGUGUCAGUCCUAGUACUGGGACCCCUAAUUCAUGUCCCUUUUACUGCUGUAAAUUUUUAGCAAGCUUUUAGGUUGGACAAGAAACGUAGAGCUCCCCUUAUCUAAGCUCAUUUGACAGAUGAGAAAACUGAGGCCUGGUGGGGAGGUUGAAUUAUUUGAGGAAGUUUAUAGAGCCAGUCUGAGGCCAAGCUGGGGACUAGAAGUCAAAAUUUUUUGAUCCCAAGGUCAGUACAUUUUUACUUUAGUGCAGAGUAAAAACUGUAGGCAGCAUUUGUUAUACACAUAAAUACACAUACACACACACACACAACGCCUCCCCCCCCCACACACAAUACCCUCACACUCUAAGAUGUGUCUAUUUUCAGAAGUGUGGGUUGUUAGUUAUGCAUUGUCUUAGGUUGGCUUCUCCCAAAGCUGGUUUGAGUCAAGGAUUGGAGUGCAAGUAGCUUACUUGGAAGGUGGUCCUGGGAAGCACCAGUAGGGGAGUGGAGGAAGUGAGAUAAGGAAGGAAAGGCAGCCAGUACAGUGUGUGCUGAUAAGCAGAUUCCACUGUGGGCAACUGAGGCCUCUCUGUGCUGGGGCCCUUUUGGAGACUGGGUAGAAUAUGCUUCUGAGUUGUCCCACAGGAGAGGCAGGCAAGGAGCUGGGCUGUUUAUUUACUAGUUUCUGGGUCACUGCUUGGGGGCUUUUCCUGGAAGCCUUACUCCUUGCACUUGUAGCUGAAAAGUCUACAAGUCAAGAGGGUUUCAGUUCCUGGAGGAAGGCUUCUUAAGUGCGUUUGGUAACUGAGUCAGUGGGAAUGUGGAGGAAUCGGCAGAUCACUGGCAACUUCUGUGUGCACUCAGAAAGAAUUGGAAGUGGAUGUAAGCGCACAUUCUACACACAGUCGAUUCCAAUAUGACAAACACUUUGUCUUUGCUCUUUCCUCUUCUUUCCAUCAUAUACUUACUGCUUUCAUAUGGGAAGGAUAGAGCUGAGAAAUAAAUACUGAAACUGAUACCAUCAGGGUUGGAUAUUCUGUUUGCCCCUUAAGAGUCACUCUCCACUUUCUCCAACCUGCUCUCCUCCUGAGGCUGGGCAUUAAUUGCAACAUUGGUGAGCUUCCUUGCCCUCUGGUGUUAGAAUGGGUUCAGGCAGUGGGAGCUUCUAGAGGAGACUGGAGGGAGGAGAACUGUAAGGUCAGUUGCUAAGAGACUCCCAGGUCUCUUCUUGCCAACAUGCUGUUGGUUGACUCUGUCCCCUUCCUGGAAGCCAGAGUCGACCAGAAAGAUCUCUCCUAUCAUUCUAAUACUAUUCUUGGUUUCUGUAGCUCUGUCCUCUUACUCCUUCAGACCUAGGACACAUCACAUUCCCUGCAUGGUUUCCCUAAUCCCUGCCCACACCUGGUAAAUAACCUUUUAUUAAACUCCCUCGUUGCCCCAUUUGAGUGUUCCAUCUGUUUCCUGCUGCGACCCUGACUGAGGCAACAUCUUUAAGGCAUUUACUCUCUAUUCAGAAUCAGAUGAAAUGAAACAGCUAGAGAUGUUAUGAAGGUGUAAGAUAAUGAGGCAUAAAUUGUACUUAAGCCCUAAGGACACUCAGCAUAUAGGAUCCAUUAAUAAAGAAGGGUUACUUACUAAAGAAGAUGUUUUUUGGAGGCGUGCCUUAGGUUGUAAUCGUUAAUCUGCUUUCUUUCCUGCUCUGUGGGAAGCUCUGUUUAGGUAGUGAAUUGAAAUUUGGAAGUUCUGCCUUAUUAUGACCAUGUAUGCAGUUAAUUAUAAGGUAUAUAACUCUAUAAAAUGGAAAAAUUGGUAAUUCAGAGAAACAGAAGGGUGAAAUGGAUCUAUCCAUCUGGAAAUUUCAGAGAUUUCUCUCAUGUGUGCUAAUUUUAGAUAAGUAAGUAUUUUCCUCUUAAUUCCUAAUGUUUCUCAUCCCUUUAAUGGAUUAGAAUUGAUUUUUCUCAAGUAUUUUUUUUUUUUUUUUUAAAGCUGGUGUGAAAGGCAUUUCAGGCUGCUUAGAAUAAGGCACUAGCAACAGAAAGCACCCAUUCUGUAUGUAUUUGCAGAGGGCCUCUUAUGAUUCAGGCACUUUGCUUAAGUACCAUUAACUCAAAAUGAAUGAUAUUUGAUCACUGCUUUCAAGGAAAUCACAAUGUAGUUGGGAAAACAGAAGUCCAAACAAAUACUUGUGACAAUAUUUUUUAGUAUUAUACGUAUGUAGAGAAUUUUAUGUGCAUAUAAAUGAGGAUAUAUGUAAGUAAUUCUGUCAAGGAAAGCCAGAGAGGUUAGUGAAUGACAGAAAUGUUUCAUAGAGCAAGUGACAUUGACUUGGGUCUUGAAGGAUGAUAAAGAAUGUAUCAGGAAGAUAAGAGGAGGAAUGGCAUGAAGGAAGGUGUGCAUUUCCUGGUGGCUUGAAGAUUCAGUGAGAUAUAUGAUUUGAGAGAAACGUUGGUGGCCUUUGGAGAAAAGGCUGGACUUCAGGCCAUAGGAUAGAAUGGUAAUCUGAUUCUUAAUAUGCAUCAUCACUUAAAAUAAUAUAGACUAAAAAUUUUAGUAAAAAUAUACUCUAAAAAUAUUAGGGGAGUGUAAACAAAACAAAAAUAAUAUCUUUGGGAAUCUUUAGACAUUUAAUGGGAAAUAUAUUGCUAGAUAUCAUAUAGCACAUGCUCUAAAUACUGAGCAAUGUAUGAUUUUAAUUCAGGAGCAUCUCAAAACAGGGAGAAGUCCCACUGGUAUCUUCUGUCACUACACAGCUUUGCUCAGAUUUGUGUGCACUUAUACUAAAUUUGCCAUUACACAAUUACCUUGUAUCACCAUAGAAUUACCUAAAAUAUGGAAAUAUGAUGGCUUGCUUGGAGAUAUGGUAGAAUGCCUUUUCUGUUACUAAUGAUUAUAUUAGCAUCCAUACUUCACAAUCACCUGUUCAGCAGAACAUGUCUGGAUAUACCUACCGUAAGAGAUAUUUGUGCCUUAUUCUUUCUAAAUAUUCUAGUCCCUAAAGCUUAAGGGGUCAGCAAUCUUGAUAUUAUAAGGUGGGCUAAUUGAUGAAGACUGUCUUAUCAUUACAACAGUUAUAGAUGCAAUGAAGUUUUGAGUGCUGCUUACUAAGUAGGAAACUGGUAAACAAGAAUUCCACUCCAGAGGCAUGGGCAAAAUGGUAACUAUAGUACAUGGGUAUUAUAGUCAAAGCCUUUGUAAACGGAAACCCCUUAAACUGGUCAUGUUAAAGUUCAUUAUAUUGUCUAGAAACUUGAGGUCUCAUGAAGUACGGGGAGAGGAACAAAGUCCAGUCAGGUAUCAUGGAACUGUUAAUAGAAUGCCAAAGUCCAGAAUUAAGCUUAUACUCCCCAUCAUGCAGACAGUGUCUUUUUGUCUAUCUGUUUUAUUCUUUCCUUAUCUUGUUUGCUAACCAUGUUCUAUCUAUAUUCUGUUUUAGUCAUCUCUUGCUUUUUAAAAAAACCACUCCAAAACUUACUGGCUUAAAACAACCACCACCAUUUAGUGCCUUUCAUGAGUCUGUGGGGUGACUGGGCUCAGCUGGGCAGUUCUUCUGUUUCACAUGGUAUUGGCUGGGGCUGAAAUUCUGUGGGGGUUCAUAUGAGCUGGAAUGCUCAAGAGGACUUACUCACAUGGUUAGUAGUUGAUGUGUUUAUCGGAUGGGGGUUCAGCUAGGAUGCCAACUGGAACAUCUCAGUUCUCUUCCCUUUAGUUUCUUUUCAUGUGACUUGGGCUUCUCACAGUGAGGGAGCUGGCUUCCAAGAGGGAGCUUAUAGGUGUGCAAAAAUGGAAGUUGCCAGUUCCCUUAAGUCAAGGGCUCAGAAGUCCUGGGUGACCACUCCCAGUGCAUUCUGUGAAAGCAGUCACAGGGCCAGCUUCCAGGAGAGGGGGAAUAGACUUGACUUCCCAACAGGAAGAGGGACAAACCAUUUAAAACCACAUUUUUUGCAGAAGGCGCAACAUGUUCCACGUGCCCCCAGUCACCAGUAUUCAUGGAAACAUUCAUUAAGUAUUCAUCAUGAAUUGCCUAUAGCCUCUGUGUCUCUUAGUUCAAAUGCUCCCAAGGGACAUUCAUAUUGGUUGCUGACCAUCCAGUCAUCUGUAGUUGACAGGGCCAAGUCUUAUGCUAUUAAAGACUUUCUUUGAAGGGGCUGAGGUGGGAUUAGUGCUCUGAGGAUUAUUUGAGAGAACGCUUAGUGCCUGGCUGUUCCUCUGAGGCUUGAGAUAACUUUUCUUUCCAUGGUCCAGAGAGCUCUGCCUGACAUCUGCCUUCUAGCUUUUUCUGGAGCCAUUUUCUCCCUCAUUUUUCAGCUUUGCUUUUUUGUUUUAAGUUUGUCUAAUGUGCCUCUUCCCUUUCUGCUCUGUGUGCUGCACGUCCCUGAGACAAGAAGGCUGUCUUCUCUCUCCCAGCCCCUAUCUGUUGGCUAACUUCUAACCUGCUCUUCAGAUCUCAGCUCAAAUAUCACUUCCUGAGGGGAGCAUGGAACACUCUGGAUUAAGCCACAUCCCCUGUCCAUCUCCUUUUCCCUCAUCUUGCUAUCAUACUUUGUGACCUUAUACCAGUGUGGCUAUUUGAUUAUGGUCUGCCUCCCCCUGAAGGCUCUAGAAGGCAGAGGAAUGUGUCUGUCUUCCUCAGGGCUGCAGUGGCCAUGCAUUGCUCAUGUUAGGUACUGAUAAGUGUUUGUUAUUUGCAUGAGUUAAAAAUUAGAAGUUGAGAUGGUUUGGUCAUUUGUCCCCUCCAAAUCUCAAGUUGAAAUGUGAUCCCCAUUGUUGGAGGUGGGGCCUGGUGGGAGGUAUUUGGGUCAGGGGAGCAGAUCGCUCAUGACUGUCUUGGUGCUCUCCCCAUAGUAAUGAGUGAGUUCCCGUUCUAUUAAUUCACGUGAGAGCUGAUGAUUUAAAAGAGCCUGGCAUCUCUCUUGCUGCCUCUCUUCCCAUGUGACAUGCCUGCUCGCCCUUCGCCUUCCACCAUGAGUAAAAGCUUCCUGAGACCUCACCAGAAGCUGGUGCCAUGUUGUACAACCUGAGGAACCAUGAACUAAAUAAACCAUCUUUCUUUAUAAAUUACUCUGUCUCAGGUUUUCCUUUAUAGAAAUGCAAAAUGGACUAACACAGAGGUAGUUGCCCUGAAAAAGAAAAGACCAAGGGGAGAGAAUAUUUAUCUUGAUGAGAGAAGUUAAGACUAGCCUCGUUUCAGGGAAUAUAAGGACAUAGUUUCUUGGGGACUUCCGCUCAUCCCCAUUGGUGAUACCAUGUGAAUCAGUGAAGUCCUAUCAUUAGGGGUAGAGGCCGCAUGCUAGUUUGAAAUGUAGCAUGAGUUCCUGCCCAGUGAUGGUCCGUAAGUGCCUGAUUCAAAGCCAACUUUUUCUUUUUUUAUGCUUCUACCACCAUGGGGCCCCCAAUCUGUACCCAGAGAUCUCAGUGAUGGCUGAACUUUGUGACCACUGGGCCAUAACUGCUCAUUCCAUUCCUAUUUGUUCUCCCAUGAAGCCAGUAUCUUGUUUGGCUGCAAGUCAAAAAGAUUGGUUAGAUUACAUCUUGGGAUAUGAUGGAUGCGCCUGUGAGCAUAAUCUCCAUGAGAUAACCCUAAUCAAAACUUUUUGUCCAAUUCUUCUGUGGCAUGCUAUUUAUCUAAAAAGAAAGUAAGUUAGGAAAAGAAUCAAAAUACCAGAUGGGAAACAUAAAGACAGAGAAGGAAAUAACUGAGAUUUUGUUUUAUUUAAAGAUUCUACACCCUUUGCAUGUCAGGAUUUUUCAAUCGUCACUUUUAGAUUGAGAUAAAGAUGGGGGCAAUCUUGUUUAAGUUUACUUAAUUUCCCUGAAAUAAUUUAAUACUGUAAAUAUGUAUUGAACACUCCAUAUGUAUCUCUGUGGAGGGUGUAAAAACACAUACAAGUUGGUAUAUAAUCUUGAAAUUUAUACCUACCCAGGAAAUAUGGCAUGCAUAUAUGACAUGAGGUCCAAGUGCAACAAUCAGAUAAAAAGGGCUAAUAGGAAUUAAAUGGGGGAUGGAGUAGUCAGGGGUGUUUUUAUAGAGCGGCUAGACAUUGAGCUGAAUCUCCUUGGAUGAGUAGAUUUAGGAAAAGUUGCCUAGAAAGUAAAGGGAGAGGAUAUUCUAGGCUGUGAAAGCCCCAUGUCUGAAAGUUAAAGUGUGAGAAGGAACAGGAAUAUCCUUUCAUGCUCCAAAGGCAGUGAAGGUAUACAGGGUAGGGGUGGGAGGUUAGAGAGUGGAGGGGUAUGGCAAGCCACUGAGUGAGAUCCUUGGAGGCCAGGUGCAGGGGUGGGAUGCUUGCAAGCAAAGGAAGUCACAUCAUAAAACCUGUGAUUUGGAACAUUAUUUCCUUUGCAGUUGGUGAGGUAGUUUUGGUGAGGAAGAGGCUGGAGCCAGAGACACCUCCUGGGAGAUGUUGUGGUCAGCACCACAAGGAUGGUGAUAGAAACUAAGAGAAAGGGAAGUUCACAAAAUGGAUUCAGAGGAAGAACAGGUGGAUUUUCAUGUCUGGAUUCAUAGUGAGGAAUACAAAGAAGGAAGAAAUAAAGGGAUCUUGAAUCUGGAAAAAUUAUUUCCACAACCACCAGUACAAAGAUUGGAAAUAGAUGGUCAUGCCAAGGUUGUGUGGACCAGAUGAAUGGAAUAGCUUAUAAGCAAUGCUGAAUAACUGUGGGUUGGUUGAAAGAUAAAGGCUGGAGGUGCAAAUGAGUGUAUCACCAGAUGCUGUUGGACUAAAUAAAUCCAAUGAAGACAAACUUGGGAGUUUUACUAGGCAUUUUAAGCAGGGAAGUGAAAAAAGUAUGUCCCAUAUCUUCAGAUACUGACAUCUGAUUCAACAGUAAAUUCUGUUGUUGUUCUACAUUCAGGACGUAUCCCAAAUUUAAGCAGUUUCUGUUGCUGGUAUCACUGCCUUCCGGUCCAGUCAUCACCCUUCUUCACCUGGAUUCUGCAGUAGCCUCGAACCCUUGCCCAUCUGCAGUUUGUUCUCAACACAGCAGCCCAAAUGAUGCCUCUGAAAUAGAUAUCAGGUCAUGUUGCUCUGCUCCUAAAGUGGUUUCCCACCUCAUUCAGAGAGUAAGCCAAAGCACUCACAAGGACCCCCAGGGCCUGGCAUGAUCCCUUUCUCUUAAUCUCUGACUUCAUCUGUUACUACCUUCUCCUUUGUUCACUCCAUGCUGGCUUACCUUGCGAACUGCUUUUCCUUACACACACUGGGCAUGGCUGCCGCUGCCCCAGGGCCUUUGCACAUUCUCCCUCUGCCUGGAAACUUCUUUACAAUAUCUGCAGGACUUGUUCCUCCCCUCCUUCAAAUCUUUGCCAUCCCUGUGACUUGUACCCUGUCCCUUUCUUUACUUUAGUCUUUUUCCUCCAUAACCUUUAGUGUCUUCUAAUAUCUAGACCAUUGGCUGACUUGUUUGUUGUCAGUCUCCCUCUUUAAAAUUGAAGUUCCAUGACAGCAGAGAUUUCUAUCUGUAUCGUGCAUGGACAUCUUAAAUGCCUAGAACAGUGCAGGUACUUAGUAGUAAACAUUUGUUGAGUGAAUGGAAGAAAUUAUGUUAGAAACUUCUUUUUGAGUGAAACUUUGAUUUCCCUGAGAUCAGCUGUCAAUAAUUUCUAUCUUUAUAUUCAGGCAUAGUCAGUGCUCAGUAAAUGUUGAAUAAGCAAGCAGAACCUGAAAUAUAAAAUCCUAACAUUUCACAUUAUCUAGUUCCAGAAAGUUUCAGUACUAAAUGUAACAUUUAAAAAACGAUGGAGGGGAGGGAUGGUGGAAGGAUAGUUUCGGUUCAUUUAGCUUAGCCUCCACUUUUGACUUCAGAAUUCAUAUCAUAGUUUGGCAAUUCUUUCAUUAUUACUAUGAUUAUUAAUUGGAUGCUAUUUAAAAAUUUGGCUUUUAAACUCUCAGCUGAUGUUUUAGGAGAUUAUACUAUACAGGGUACGGAAAUUGCCGGGGCUGACUGUAACUAUUCAUGGCCAAUUAAGGAACAGCAUUGGCAAGAAAUAUGGGGUGGAUACACUUGUGCUUUGUGGGAAUCCUGGUGGCUAUGGCUUCAUAGUAUCAGGGGAUUAGCUUGCUGGGCUUCCUUCUGCAAAAGGGAUCUUAAUUUGGUUACCUGGUGGGUGCUUUUAUAAAUGAGGAGAAUAAACAGUCUUGAGGGACUUACAUUGUUGGAGAGUGUUGGAGAGUUAAAGAUAGAAAGAAAAGAACAAAGUGAAGAAAUUACUCUUUAUUUGGGAGCAUUUCCUUGAGAAGUCUUUCUGAAGUUUGCUUUUAGUUUUAUUUGGUAUCACUUUUAUCUUUUCCCAGGGGAUGCAGAUGUCUUUUGAAAGAAUGCAUGCAGAAAAAACAAGCUGUAGGAGGCAGAAAUAAGUUCUUGAAAGUUUAGUAAGUUUUGAAGGACAGAAGUGCUUGGAGAAGCUGGGCUGUACCACAUCUUUAAGGUUGAUAUCUGGGAGAAUCAACUACUGUGUUUCCUGCUAUGACCAUUGAUGUGUUUGUUGAUAGAUACAACUAAUGACUAGGUUCUUACUUAUAUUUGUAUAUGGAACUUUUUAAAAGAGUUCGAAUAACAGGGAAAUAUGACACAAAGGAACCUGAAAAACAUAAGCAGCAGAUUACACCUUUGUUUAACUUUAAGGUUAAAACAAUCCAUAGAAAAUUGUUUUUGAUUUUUCUAGCUUAUGAAAAUACUGUACAGCCCUUUGCAGAUAUAGUAUCUAAGGGGUUUAAAGCUGGUAUGGUGGCUCAGGAGGCCAAGGCUGGAGGAUUGCUUAAGCCCAGGAGUUCAAGACCAGCUUGAGCAACAAAA